CUGAGGUCUUGUUUUUGUAUUCUGUAGGAGUAAGGUGAGGCCCUGAACAAAGAAGGCUCACUCCUGACUUACCUUGAAAGUGGAGAUCUAAUGGGACAGCCAUGCAUUUUACUAUGGAGAAGUAACAACGAUGUCCCUAUCACGUAUUUGGGACCCCUCUGGGCUAAGAGGAAUGAAGACACAGAGCCUUGUCUAUUGCCUGUGAUCCACAAAACUCAGCACAAGAAAUGGAAGAAAGAAAUCUCAGCUGCAAUAAAUGUUUGUUUUCAUUUUUUUAAAAUCCAUAUUAAUCACUAUUAGACAUUUAU
This 308-nucleotide long non-coding RNA is filed under the name Anser brachyrhynchus (Pink-footed goose). RNAcentral describes it as "lncRNA (ENSABRG00000017487.1)". The record is from RNAcentral. Lineage: Eukaryota; Metazoa; Chordata; Aves; Anseriformes; Anatidae.